UGCAGUCGACGAGAUCUUCGGAUCUAGUGGCGCACGGGUGCGUAACGCGUGGGAAUCUGCCCUUGGGUUCGGAAUAACUUCUGGAAACGGAAGCUAAUACCGGAUGAUGACGUAAGUCCAAAGAUUUAUCGCCCAAGGAUGAGCCCGCGUAGGAUUAGCUAGUUGGUGAGGUAAAGGCUCACCAAGGCGACGAUCCUUAGCUGGUCUGAGAGGAUGAUCAGCCACACUGGGACUGAGACACGGCCCAAACUCCUACGGGAGGCAGCAGUAGGAAAUAUUGGACAAUGGGCGAAAGCCUGAUCCAGCAAUGCCGCGUGAGUGAUGAAGGCCUUAGGGUUGUAAAGCUCUUUUACCCGGGAUGAUAAUGACAGUACCGGGAGAAUAAGCUCCGGCUAACUCCGUGCCAGCAGCCGCGGUAAUACGGAGGGAGCUAGCGUUGUUCGAAAUUACUGGGCGUAAAGCGCACGUAGGCGGCUAUUCAAGUCAGAGGUGAAAGCCCGGGGCUCAACCCCGGAACUGCCUUUGAAACUAGAUAGCUUGAAUCCAGGAGAGGUGAGUGGA
This 561-nucleotide ribosomal RNA is filed under the name bacterium het-d-7. RNAcentral's name for it is "bacterial SSU rRNA". It matches the Rfam family "Bacterial small subunit ribosomal RNA", at positions 56 to 665 of the family's 1533-position model. The record is from RNAcentral.